GGGGCUGUGGCGCAAUUGGUAGCGCGUGGUACGUUCCAACACUCUUAAUUACGAGUUUCCAAAACAUUCAACUAACAAAUUCCCUAUAGCGACUCCAGAUCGCAAGGUUGCCCGAUCGAGACGGACCAGCCUCA
Molecule: non-coding RNA, 134 nt
Organism: Aspergillus egyptiacus
Lineage: Eukaryota; Fungi; Ascomycota; Eurotiomycetes; Eurotiales; Aspergillaceae
Source: the annotation of a GenBank genome assembly